This is a long non-coding RNA of Cercocebus atys (sooty mangabey), 729 nucleotides long. RefSeq lists it as uncharacterized. Lineage: Eukaryota; Metazoa; Chordata; Mammalia; Primates; Cercopithecidae. The record is from RefSeq and is a predicted model, not a curated record. The transcript has 2 exons.
GAAGGAACCACCAAGUGCCUUUGUACUCAGUUCUUCUACCCCUUGGAGACGGUGCAGGGUUUGGGGUUGGGUAUUCAGAUCGAUGGCAGACACUCCAUUUUAAAGAUGAAGAAAGGUGGGCACAAAGAAGUUAACCAGCUUGCCCAAGUUCUCACAGCCGGGAAGCAACAGAGCCAGAACCUAAGAAGGCCAGGUUCUAAGCCUGUGUUCUCUUCACCAGUAUGCUGUGCUGCCAGUUGGCUGGUAGAUGGUCUCGCGCAAGUUUCUUCACUUUUUCUAGUUAAUAAUUUUAUCUGGCAAAGUGUCAACUUUUUUCAUCUGAAAUGUGGGUGCCUGUAUUGGCCUAGGAAGGAGUGGGCAUUGGAAUUGUUCAUGAAACUUUUAAAAGAAAUACACAUACAUAGGAUUCUUACCUUGUAGAUUUUGUUAGUAAGUUUGGGAUGCUCUUAUGCAUUCAAGUCUGUAUUACUGUAUUAGAUUAACUCAGUUUAUUUUUUGUAUAUCUAACAUUCUAAGAUACCUGGUUUGAAUGUUAGUAAACAACACAGAAAACUGAAUUGCAUAGUAAAUGCUUUGGAGAAAAUGAGGGCUAGAGUUCUCAAGGAAGGCUUGACUUGGGUUCAAGGGAAAUAUGUGGUUUAUAAACUCUGCUUCUCUGCAAACAGGAGCUUCAUGAGCUGAAACAAGAUGUACUGGUGUUGAUAAUAUGAAUAAAUGGCUAUUUCUUUA